UGUGCGCGCCUAAUCCGUCUGACGUGCUGCUGAGGGCGCUCGACCGAGGCUGCAGAAGGCACUCAGCUAACCCAAAGUGACAUGUGCCCGGCGGGACAUUCAGUCCGUACAAA
Molecule: unclassified non-coding RNA, 113 nt
Organism: Panthera pardus (leopard)
Lineage: Eukaryota; Metazoa; Chordata; Mammalia; Carnivora; Felidae
Source: Ensembl